This 302-nucleotide ribosomal RNA is filed under the name Ashinkailepas seepiophila. RNAcentral's name for it is "partial 12S ribosomal RNA". The record is from RNAcentral. Lineage: Eukaryota; Metazoa; Arthropoda; Thecostraca; Neolepadidae.
AACGGAUUUGGCGGCAAAAUAGCCCUUCUAGAGGAACCUGCCCUGUAAACGAUGGUCCACGAUUUACCUUACUUUUAUUAGUAGUCAGUUUGCAUACCGCUGUUGUUAGUUAGUUUCUUUAGAAAACUUUCUUAAAUGGAAAAUUCAUUUACUUCAAGUAAAGGUGCAGUUUAUGUAAAAGAUAGAGGUGGGUUACAAUUAAUUAGAAUAAUUACGGAUACUGAGUUGAAAAUUUAGUUUAAGGUGGAUUUAGAAGUAAAUUUAUUAAGUGAUUUGAUAUGAGCACUGUUUUGUGUACACAC